AUGAAGCCGGAAUUGCAGUAAUGGCAGGUCAGCAUACUGCCGUGAAUACGUUCCCGGGCCUUGUACACACCGCCCGUCACACCAUGAGAGUUGGGGAUACCCGAAGCCUGUGAGCUAACAGUAAUGAAGCAGCAGUCGAAGGUAGAAUCAAUGAUUGGGGUGAAGUCGUAACAAGGUAAC
This 180-nucleotide ribosomal RNA is filed under the name uncultured bacterium. RNAcentral describes it as "partial 16S ribosomal RNA". It matches the Rfam family "Bacterial small subunit ribosomal RNA", at positions 1320 to 1500 of the family's 1533-position model. The record is from RNAcentral.